This 258-nucleotide ribosomal RNA is filed under the name uncultured bacterium. Its description in RNAcentral is "partial small subunit ribosomal RNA". It matches the Rfam family "Bacterial small subunit ribosomal RNA", at positions 26 to 285 of the family's 1533-position model. The record is from RNAcentral.
AGGACGAACGCUGGCGGCGUGCUCAACACAUGCAAGUCGAGCGAGGCCCUCUCUUCGGAGAGGUGCCCUAGCGGCGAACGGGUGAGUAACACGUGGGCAACCUGCCCCUAGCACUGGGAUAAGCCCGGGAAACCGGGUCUAAUACCGGAUAUGACCUUCAAGGGCAUCCUCGAAGGUGUAAAGGAUUCUGGCUAGGGAUGGGCCCGCGGCCUAUCAGCUUGUUGGUGGGGUAAUGGCCCACCAAGGCAACGACGGGUA